GAUGAACGCUGGCGGUAUGCCUAACACAUGCAAGUCGAACGGGCUUUUCGGAGCUAGUGGCGGACGGGUGAGUAACGCGUGAGAAUCUGCCUUCAGGAUGGGGAUAACAGGGAGAAAUCGCUGCUAAAACCCAAUGUGCCGAAAGGUGAAAUACUUGUAGCCAGAAGAGGAGCUCGCGUCCGAUUAGUUAGUUGGUGGGGUAAGAGCCUACCAAGGCAGCGAUCGGUAGCUGGUCUGAGAGGAUGAGCAGCCACACUGGGACUGAGACACGGCCCAGACUCCUACGGGAGGCAGCAGUGGGGAAUUUUCCGCAAUGGGCGAAAGCCUGACGGAGCAAUACCGCGUGAGGGAGGAAGGCUUUUGGGUUGUAAACCUCUUUUGUUAAGGAAGAAGAAAGUGACGGUACUUAAAGAAUAAGCAUCGGCUAACUCCGUGCCAGCCGCCGCCGUAA
This 451-nucleotide ribosomal RNA is filed under the name uncultured bacterium. Its description in RNAcentral is "partial 16S ribosomal RNA". It matches the Rfam family "Bacterial small subunit ribosomal RNA", at positions 28 to 523 of the family's 1533-position model. The record is from RNAcentral.